UGCGGAGUAGUGAGUAGUUGGUAGCUCGGCAGGCUCAUAACCUGUUGCCUUUGUGCCCCGUCGGUUCGAACCCGACCUCCGCUACCA
Molecule: transfer RNA, 87 nt
Filed under: compost metagenome
Description: tRNA-Met
Rfam family: tRNA
About the family: Transfer RNA (tRNA) molecules are approximately 80 nucleotides in length. Their secondary structure includes four short double-helical elements and three loops (D, anti-codon, and T loops). Further hydrogen bonds mediate the characteristic L-shaped molecular structure. tRNAs have two regions of fundamental functional importance: the anti-codon, which is responsible for specific mRNA codon recognition, and the 3' end, to which the tRNAs corresponding amino acid is attached (by aminoacyl-tRNA synthetases). tRNAs cope with the degeneracy of the genetic code in two manners: having more than one tRNA (with a specific anti-codon) for a particular amino acid; and 'wobble' base-pairing, i.e. permitting non-standard base-pairing at the 3rd anti-codon position.
Source: RNAcentral